GGACGUGGCUCUAUGUUGUCCUCAUUGUACAUGCUGUGUGUAUAUUUAUGACGUACACAGCGCAUGCAAUGUGGACAGAAUGGAGACCAGCAGGCUC
RNAcentral lists this microRNA precursor (97 nucleotides) under Alligator mississippiensis (American alligator). RNAcentral's name for it is "microRNA ami-mir-460b precursor". Its record names the gene ami-mir-460b. The stretch from base 9 to 85 matches the Rfam family "mir-460 microRNA precursor family". Lineage: Eukaryota; Metazoa; Chordata; Crocodylia; Alligatoridae. The record is from miRBase by way of RNAcentral.